GUGCUCACUUUGGCAGCACAUAUAUUAAAAUUGGAAUGUUAAAGAGAAUAUUAGCAUGGCCACUGCACAAGGAUAACACGCAAAUUUGUAGUGUUCCAUAUUUUU
This is a small nuclear RNA of Peromyscus maniculatus bairdii (prairie deer mouse), 105 nucleotides long. The record is from Ensembl. Lineage: Eukaryota; Metazoa; Chordata; Mammalia; Rodentia; Cricetidae.